AGAGUUUGAUCCUGGCUCAGGAUGAACGCCGGCGGUGUGCCUAAUACAUGCAAGUCGUACGCGUUGGCCCAACUGAUUGAACGUGCUUGCACGGACUUGACGUUGGUUUACCAGCGAGUGGCGGACGGGUGAGUAACACGUAGGUAACCUGCCCCAAAGCGGGGGAUAACAUUUGGAAACAGAUGCUAAUACCGCAUAACAAUUUGAAUCGCAUGAUUCAAAUUUGAAAGAUGGCUUUGGCUAUCACUUUGGGAUGGACCUGCGGCGCAUUAGCUUGUUGGUAGGGUAACGGCCUACCAAGGCUGUGAUGCGUAGCCGAGUUGAGAGACUGAUCGGCCACAAUGGAACUGAGACACGGUCCAUACUCCUACGGGAGGCAGCAGUAGGGAAUCUUCCACAAUGGGCGCAAGCCUGAUGGAGCAACACCGCGUGAGUGAAGAAGGGUUUCGGCUCGUAAAGCUCUGUUGUUAGAGAAGAACGUGCGUGAGAGCAACUGUUCGCGCAGUGACGGUAUCUAACCAGAAAGUCACGGCUAACUACGUGCCAGCAGCCGCGGUAAUACGUAGGUGGCAAGCGUUAUCCGGAUUUAUUGGGCGUAAAGCGAGCGCAGGCGGUUUGAUAAGUCUGAUGUGAAAGCCUUUGGCUUAACCAAAGAAGUGCAUCGGAAACUGUCAGACUUGAGUGCAGAAGAGGACAGUGGAACUCCAUGUGUAGCGGUGGAAUGCGUAGAUAUAUGGAAGAACACCAGUGGCGAAGGCGGCUGUCUGGUCUGCAACUGACGCUGAGGCUCGAAAGCAUGGGUAGCGAACAGGAUUAGAUACCCUGGUAGUCCAUGCCGUAAACGAUGAGUGCUAGGUGUUGGAGGGUUUCCGCCCUUCAGUGCCGCAGCU
RNAcentral lists this ribosomal RNA (890 nucleotides) under uncultured bacterium. RNAcentral's name for it is "bacterial SSU rRNA". It matches the Rfam family "Bacterial small subunit ribosomal RNA", at positions 8 to 853 of the family's 1533-position model. The record is from RNAcentral.